Long non-coding RNA from Drosophila innubila, 609 nucleotides. RefSeq lists it as uncharacterized. The record is from RefSeq and is a predicted model, not a curated record. NCBI's taxonomy places the organism in Eukaryota, Metazoa, Arthropoda, Insecta, Diptera, Drosophilidae. The transcript is spliced from 2 exons.
GUGUGUGGGUGUGCGUGUGUAUAUAUGUGUGUGUGUGUGUGUGUGUUGUGUGUGUGAACGUGUGUUUGUGUGUGGAUUGUGUGUGCAUUCAAAAUUGUAACAGAAAUUCGAAAUGAUCAAAAUAAUUCCAAAUAAUUGUAAAAUUAAUAGAUUUGGAAUCCCCGUAAAUUUGUAAAAUGUUGUAACACAUUUUUCGUUGGGUUACAAACAGAAUAAUUAAAAUUGCAAUUAGUUAUUAUGUUUCAAUUUGAUUUAAGCCCAAAACAAAAGAAUAAUGAAUGACACAUUGAGUUGCUGCUUGUGCCUAGCAAUAAACUAUAAGUUCAACAGCCAAGCGAGUUAUCAGUGCAAUACUCACGAUUUUUUUUUUAAGUUUCCUUUUUCAAAGAACAUUUUGUCCCGAAGCACAACAAUAAUAACGAACAGAAUAGAUUAAGAUAGGCAUAUACAUAUAUAAUGCGUACAAUUUGUAAGUGAAGAAGACGUCCUAUUUCGCUAAGAGUCCAAGGUUGAUGGACUUGUUGUAUUCACAUCCCUUUCAUCCUGCUAAAGACAAUGAUAAAGAUUGCGUGUUCUCUUAUAAAACCUGAAUAUACUUAUUUAUUGUUU